Molecule: transfer RNA, 75 nt
Filed under: Planctomycetaceae bacterium
Lineage: Bacteria; Pseudomonadati; Planctomycetota; Planctomycetia; Planctomycetales; Planctomycetaceae
Also listed under: 1 other name
Description: tRNA-Arg
Rfam family: tRNA
About the family: Transfer RNA (tRNA) molecules are approximately 80 nucleotides in length.
Source: RNAcentral
GCCCCCGUAGCUCAAUGGAUAGAGUCCCGGCCUCCGGAGCCGGUGGUUCAGGUUCGAGUCCUGACGGGGGUACCA